GAUGAAGAACGCAGCGAAAUGCGAUACGUAAUGUGAAUUGCAGAAUUCAGUGAAUCAUCGAAUCUUUGAACGCAUAUUGCGCUCUCUGGUAUUCCGGAGAACAUGCUUGUUUGAGUAUCAGUAAACACCUCAACUUCCAUAUCUUUUUUGAAAUGGGAGUUGGACUUGAGUGAUCCCAACGCUUUUCCUCACCGAAAAGUGGCGGGUUACUUGAAAUGCAGGUGCAGCUGGACUUUUCUCUGAGCUAUAAGCAUAUCUAUUUAGUCUGCCAAAAAAACAGAUUAUUACCUUUGCUGCAGCUAACAUAAAGGAGAUUAGUUCUUGUGCUGACUGAUGCAGGAUUCACAAAGACGGCUUCGGCCGACUUUGUAAACUCGAUCUCAAAUCAAGUAAGACUACCCGCUGAACUUAAGCAUAUCAAUAAGCGGAGGA
This 432-nucleotide unclassified non-coding RNA is filed under the name soil metagenome. Its description in RNAcentral is "partial contains 5.8S ribosomal RNA, internal transcribed spacer 2, and large subunit ribosomal RNA". The stretch from base 1 to 120 matches the Rfam family "5.8S ribosomal RNA", at positions 35 to 154 of the family's 154-position model. The record is from RNAcentral.